RNAcentral lists this ribosomal RNA (525 nucleotides) under uncultured bacterium. Its description in RNAcentral is "partial 16S ribosomal RNA". It matches the Rfam family "Bacterial small subunit ribosomal RNA", at positions 28 to 523 of the family's 1533-position model. The record is from RNAcentral.
GACGAACGCUGGCGGCGUGCCUAAUACAUGCAAGUCGAACGAAGCUGUUUUAACUGGUGCUUGCACCGACUUAAACAACUGAGUGGCGAACGGGUGAGUAACACGUGGGUAACCUGCCCCAAAGCGGGGGAUAACAUUUGGAAACAGAUGCUAAUACCGCAUAACCACAGAAACCACAUGGUUUCUGUGUCAAAGAUGGUUUCGGCUAUCACUUUGGGAUGGACCCGCGGCGUAUUAGCUAGUUGGUAAGGUAAUGGCUUACCAAGGAAAUGAUACGUAGCCGAACUGAGAGGUUGAUCGGCCACAUUGGGACUGGGACACGGCCCAAACUCCUACGGGAGGCAGCAGUAGGGAAUCUUCGGCAAUGGACGAAAGUCUGACCGAGCAACGCCGCGUGAGUGAAGAAGGUUUUCGGAUCGUAAAGCUCUGUUGUUGUUAAAGAACGUUGAUGAGAGUGGAAAGUUCAUCAAGUGACGGUAAACAACCAGAAAGGGACGGCUAACUACGUGCCAGCAGCCGCCGUAA